This 73-nucleotide transfer RNA is filed under the name Bos taurus (domestic cattle). It matches the Rfam family "tRNA". Rfam says of the family: Transfer RNA (tRNA) molecules are approximately 80 nucleotides in length. Their secondary structure includes four short double-helical elements and three loops (D, anti-codon, and T loops). The record is from Rfam by way of RNAcentral. Lineage: Eukaryota; Metazoa; Chordata; Mammalia; Artiodactyla; Bovidae. RNAcentral also lists the same sequence under 2 other names.
UCCCUGAUGGUUCAGUGGCUAAGUGUCUGCACUUACAAUGCAGGGGGCCCAGGUUCGACCCCUAAUCAGGGAA